Long non-coding RNA from Vespula pensylvanica (western yellowjacket), 1631 nucleotides. RefSeq lists it as uncharacterized. Lineage: Eukaryota; Metazoa; Arthropoda; Insecta; Hymenoptera; Vespidae. The record is from RefSeq and is a predicted model, not a curated record. The transcript has 2 exons.
AUGCUAAUGCAUACUCUCUCUCUCUCUCUCUUUCUUGCCUUUUCUCAAGAUUCUCGAGAGUUGCUUCUCGUUGGAAUAUUUUUCGUUCGAAAUAAGACGAGAAAAAUAAAAAAAGUCGUUCGAGAGGCAGGCCGAUUAUUCUAACGAUUAUUACGAACUAGUGAAUGACAAAUAUUUUAUCGGUAGACCAAUCGUCUCGCAAUUGUAUUGAAUUUCUCGAAUAUUUUGAACUUACAAACUAGUAGGAAGGUUGUUAAUUCGAAGACGUUCUCUUUUCUUCUUUUUCUUCGAGCUCGUCGUUUAACGAUCGAGUAUCGUCUCUUUGAUUUCUUGUUGUUUGUCUUUGAAAGGAAUUUCGAGGAUGAUUCUUCGUUCGAAGUUUCGAGCUUAAACCCCUUCCUCGUUCGACGAUCUCUCGGAAAGUACUGAGGGAACGUUGAACGUGCUCGUCGCCACGUAAAUAUCGCCGGAGACGAAUCUUUAAGAAUACACUCGUAUACAAUCACACGUAAACAUACACGUAACGCGGGAGAAACACAUACGUACAUAAACACACGACACAUAAAUAAUUACGUACACGAAUACAUUUACCAAGUAUACAAAAAGUUUCAACUCAACGUUUUCGUAUAUCUAAGGUAGAGCCGUCGAGAGAAUAUUUUUUAUAUUCCACAUGGAUUUUACAGUUAAUAUCAUUGAUUAUCGUUUCGUAGAGAAAAAGAAUGGGAAAGAAGGAAUUCAAAGACGCGGCUUUCUCACGCGGCAUAAAAGAAAGCAAAGGGUAGAUUUUCAAAAAAAAAAAGACUUCCCUCACCUCCUUCAAAGUGUACACACCUACACGUUUAUCGUUUCUAGAGAUCGACAGAUCUCUGCAAGAUUAUUUUGGCUAUGUACACGCAAACACACCUGUACACUCGCGUGUCCUUUUCUAUUCCACGAUUAAACGUCCCUCACUUCCCCUUUUUACUUCAUAGUACAUACGUACACACAUACAUACGUUCUAAAAAGCGUUCGAGAGAUUUUCGAAGAUUUUCAUAUUCACCGGCCGAAAGCUUUCUUUGCCGAACAGGGAAAGAGCAACAAAUGAAACAAAAAAAAAUUGCGAAAGAUUUAGCGUGUACACAUUGAAAGCACAUACACACAUACAUGCAUACACAUAUACACGAUAUACGCAUGCUUAAGCAAGCGAGAAAGCGAGUUUGUAUAGAAUACGAUCUACGUAAGACGUAAUUGUAAAUCGAUACGAUUAGAAUAUGGUUUUUAAGAGGUACGAUUAGUAACGUUAAUUUUGUUAAACCACUUUACUUAAGAUCCAAACGACGACGGCGGUCGUCGUGGAUCGAUAAACGCGGUGCGACGAAAACGCGAUCGAAAGAGAACGUUCGAGCGUUCGAACGAACGAACGAUGAGAAGAGGAAAGGGCAAGUGUUUUCUUUCGACCAAAACAAAAACACGAAGAAACAUAUAGAAAAAUAAAGACAGAGUGACUUUGAAUCGUUCGAUGCUCGAAGGUUUUCGAUGAAGAAAGGCUGUAACGUGGAAUGCGCUGGAGAGAGAGAGAGAGAGAGAGAAAGAGAGAGAGAGAGAGAGAGAGAGAGAGAGAGAGAGAGAGAGAGAGAGAGAGAGAGAAAGAG